CCUCACGUCAAUAGCGCGGUGGCUGGGUCCCAGGCAUGCUUGCCACUUUGUUCUGCGGUCCUCAUCUAAGUUUCGACGGUGAUGACAUGGACUUAGGUUCAAAGUACGUGUUCCCCUUGAGUCAUUGUGGUUGAUUGAUGGGGGUAAUGUACAGUUGCGUGUCGCUAGUCAUUCAAUUGGUCCCCUUGUUUUAGAGUGUUGGCGGGAUAAGUCGUACGAAUGUUAACAAUAGUAUGCAAUAGCUGGCCAGCGAUCCCCUACCUGAUCUCGAGGGGGAUGGAAUGACUGGGGAAUAGGCCUGUUGUUAACCUGCGGAAUUUCGUCGGACGAAAUGUCAGGCGUGUCCGUGUGGGACUUGUGCUAAACCAGUUUAGUACAUAUGACGAAGACAUUGGGCUCUUUGAAUAACAACAGUGUCCUUGACCUCCUUGUGCCUCACAACGCUAAAAUAUACACCCCCUGAAAUUGACAAGACGGCGAUGAAGAAGGAGAGCCGGCCUCCAGCUUGUCAGCCGAGAAGACACUGGAUGGACCCCCAAGAAGAUGUUGCUGCCAAUGUUAGAGCCAUACAAGCAGACCAGGCCUGCUGGAAGGGAUGCAAGGGACAGGAGAUACAAGGGACACCGGAUACAAGGGAUGACAGAGAAAGGACACAAAAGACAACGGAACAGCCUACAGAAUGAGUGUAGAAGAUGGCUGUCAAGCUGACCCACUGACGAAAUCCAUUCGAACUGAAGUUUACUCGACUAUCUCCAACCACAGACACCAACACCUCGUCCCAUGAUGACGAUGUCUCAUAUCCAUCCAUCAACCAUUUGGGGGAAGACAACUUCAUGGAGACCUUUCUGGCAAAUGGUGUAUGGUGUAGGACAAAGGAUUCCAUUGCAUAUAUGUCGUGCACGGAUGUGGUCAGACGAUUGAGAGUCGGGUAGAAAAAGUGGAUUGAAGGGUCACGCUGAAGGAUAUCGAUGGUGGAUACGAACAUCAGACUUUUAUGAUGAUCUUACUCGAGCGAUAUCCAGCAGCCAUCAUGAAAGCAGGCGGUCUCAUUUUGGAAGGAUGCAUGGUGAAGCAUCCGACAGGAGGAAGAAGGAUGUUGCUGACCAGCACAUCCCAUUGAUGUAUUUUCGUCACCGUAGACCUAUUGUUUUUA
This is a long non-coding RNA of Lineus longissimus, 1153 nucleotides long. RefSeq lists it as uncharacterized. The record is from RefSeq and is a predicted model, not a curated record. NCBI's taxonomy places the organism in Eukaryota, Metazoa, Nemertea, Pilidiophora, Heteronemertea, Lineidae. The transcript has 5 exons.